AAACCCGCCCUUGAACCUGAAGCCAGAGCUUCUUGCAAAAUAACUCAGAAAGUUUGCUGGACCCUAAAGCCUUCCCAAUGGUUCCUCCUUCUGAAGUUAAGUCGUUCAAGUCGC
This is a non-coding RNA of Pteropus alecto (black flying fox), 114 nucleotides long. The record is from Rfam. NCBI's taxonomy places the organism in Eukaryota, Metazoa, Chordata, Mammalia, Chiroptera, Pteropodidae.